UCGCACGAGAAAGCCGGGGCAACCUGGCAAGUAAAGUGGCGUACGGGUGAGUAACACGUGGGUAAUCUACCUCUUAGUGGGGAAUAACCCUGGGAAACCGGGGCUAAUACCGCAUAAGCUCGAGAGAGGAAAGCAGCAAUGCGCUGAGAGAGGAGCCCGCGGCCGAUUAGCUGGUUGGUGAGGUAAGAGCUCACCAAGGCAAAGAUCGGUAGCCGGCCCGAGAGGGCACACGGCCACACUGGCACUGAAACACGGGCCAGACUCCUACGGGAGGCAGCAGUGGGGAAUCUUGCACAAUGGGGGAAACCCUGAUGCAGCGACGCCGCGUGAGCGAUGAAGCCCUUCGGGGUGUAAAGCUCUUUCGGCAGGGACGAUAAUGACGGUACCUGCAGAAGCAGCUGCGGCUAACUACGUGCCAGCAGCCGCGGUAAUACGUAGGCAGCGAGCGUUGUUCGGAGUUACUGGGCGUAAAGGGUGUGUAGGCGGUCCUUUAAGUUUGGUGUGAAAUCUCCCGGCUUAACUGGGAGGGUGCGCCGAAUACUGAGGGGCUAGAGUGCGGGAGAGGAUAGUGGAAUUCCUGGUGUAGCGGUGAAAUGCGUAGAUAUCAGGAGGAACACCGGUGGUGUAGACGGCUAUCUGGACCGUGACUGACGCUGAGACACGAAAGCGUGGGUAGCAAACAGGAUUAGAUACCCUGGUAGUCCACGCCCUAAACGAUGCAUAUUUGGUGUGGGUGAUUCAGUUCAUCCGUACCGGAGCUAACGCGUUAAAUAUGCCGCCUG
RNAcentral lists this ribosomal RNA (782 nucleotides) under uncultured bacterium. Its description in RNAcentral is "bacterial SSU rRNA". It matches the Rfam family "Bacterial small subunit ribosomal RNA", at positions 62 to 875 of the family's 1533-position model. The record is from RNAcentral.